UCCAUAGGUUAAUGAGGCGAACCGGGGGAACUGAAACAUCUAAGUACCCCGAGGAAAAGAAAUCAACCGAGAUUCCCCCAGUAGCGGCGAGCGAACGGGGAGCAGCCCAGAGCCUGAAUCAGUGUGUGUGUUAGUGGAAGCGUCUGGAAAGGCGCGCGAUACAGGGUGACAGCCCCGUACACAAAAAUGCACAUGCUGUGAGCUCGAUGAGUAGGGCGGGACACGUGGUAUCCUGUCUGAAUAUGGGGGGACCAUCCUCCAAGGCUAAAUACUCCUGACUGACCGAUAGUGAACCAGUACCGUGAGGGAAAGGCGAAAAGAACCCCGGCGAGGGGAGUGAAAAAGAACCUGAAACCGUGUACGUACAAGCAGUGGGAGCACGCUUAGGCGUGUGACUGCGUACCUUUUGUAUAAUGGGUCAGCGACUUAUAUUCUGUAGCAAGGUUAACCGAAUAGGGGAGCCGAAGGGAAACCGAGUCUUAACUGGGCGUUAAGUUGCAGGGUAUAGACCCGAAACCCGGUGAUCUAGCCAUGGGCAGGUUGAAGGUUGGGUAACACUAACUGGAGGACCGAACCGACUAAUGUUGAAAAAUUAGCGGAUGACUUGUGGCUGGGGGUGAAAGGCCAAUCAAACCGGGAGAUAGCUGGUUCUCCCCGAAAGCUAUUUAGGUAGCGCCUCGUGAAUUCAUCUCCGGGGGUAGAGCACUGUUUCGGCAAGGGGGUCAUCCCGACUUACCAACCCGAUGCAAACUGCGAAUACCGGAGAAUGUUAUCACGGGAGACACACGGCGGGUGCUAACGUCCGUCGUGAAGAGGGAAACAACCCAGACCGCCAGCUAAGGUCCCAAAGUCAUGGUUAAGUGGGAAACGAUGUGGGAAGGCCCAGACAGCCAGGAUGUUGGCUUAGAAGCAGCCAUCAUUUAAAGAAAGCGUAAUAGCUCACUGGUCGAGUCGGCCUGCGCGGAAGAUGUAACGGGGCUAAACCAUGCACCGAAGCUGCGGCAGCGACGCUUAUGCGUUGUUGGGUA
This 1028-nucleotide ribosomal RNA is filed under the name Escherichia coli. RNAcentral describes it as "partial 23S ribosomal RNA". It matches the Rfam family "Bacterial large subunit ribosomal RNA", at positions 163 to 1230 of the family's 2925-position model. The record is from RNAcentral. Lineage: Bacteria; Pseudomonadati; Pseudomonadota; Gammaproteobacteria; Enterobacterales; Enterobacteriaceae.